AACGAACGUUGGCGGCGUGGAUUAGGCAUGCAAGUCGUACGCGAAAGAGGGGGCAACUCCUCGAGUAAAGUGGCGAACGGGUGAGUAACGCGUAGGAAACCUGCCUUCGAGAUGGGGAUAACACUCCUAACGGGGUGCUAAUACCGAAUGACACUGCGGGAUCGCAUGGUUCUGCAGUCAAAGGUGGCCUCUGCUUGCAAGCUACCACUCAAAGAUGGUCCUGCGUCCCAUUAGCUAGUUGCGGGGUAACGGCCACCAAGGCGACGAUGGGUAGCCGAUCUGAGAGGAUGACCGGCCACACUGGGACUGAGAUACGGCCCAGACUCCUACGGGAGGCAGCAGUCGAGAGGCUUCGGCAACGGGGAAACCUGACCGAGCGACGCCGCGUGGAGGAUGAAGGCCUUUGGGUUGUAAACUCCUGUCAUGUGGGAAGAAACGCCACGUUCAAUAGGACGUGGUUUGACGGUACCACAAGAGGAAGCUCCGGCUAACU
This 493-nucleotide ribosomal RNA is filed under the name uncultured bacterium. Its description in RNAcentral is "bacterial SSU rRNA". It matches the Rfam family "Bacterial small subunit ribosomal RNA", at positions 29 to 502 of the family's 1533-position model. The record is from RNAcentral.